This 497-nucleotide ribosomal RNA is filed under the name uncultured bacterium. RNAcentral describes it as "partial 16S ribosomal RNA". It matches the Rfam family "Bacterial small subunit ribosomal RNA", at positions 28 to 507 of the family's 1533-position model. The record is from RNAcentral.
GACGAACGCUGGCGGCGUGCCUAAUACAUGCAAGUUGAGCGCUGAAGGUUGGUACUUGUACCAACUGGAUGAGCAGCGAACGGGUGAGUAACGCGUGGGGAAUCUGCCUUUGAGCGGGGGAUAACAUUUGGAAACGAGUGCUAAUACCGCAUAAAAACUUUAAACACAAGUUUUAAGUUUGAAAGAUGCAAUUGCAUCACUCAAAGAUGAUCCCGCGUUGUAUUAGCUAGUUGGUGAGGUAAAGGCUCACCAAGGCGAUGAUACAUAGCCGACCUGAGAGGGUGAUCGGCCACAUUGGGACUGAGACACGGCCCAAACUCCUACGGGAGGCAGCAGUAGGGAAUCUUCGGCAAUGGACGAAAGUCUGACCGAGCAACGCCGCGUGAGUGAAGAAGGUUUUCGGAUCGUAAAACUCUGUUGGUAGAGAAGAACGUUGGUGAGAGUGGAAAGCUCAUCAAGUGACGGUAACUACCCAGAAAGGGACGGCUAACUACGUG